UGGGGAAUAUUGCACAAUGGGCGAAAGCCUGAUGCAGCAACGCCGCGUGAGUGAAGAAGGCUCUUGGGUCGUAAAGCUCUUUCGCAAGGGGAGAAGGGUCUGUAGGUGAAUAAUCUGCAGAUUUGACGGUACCUUGACAAGAAGCACCGGCUAACUUCGUGCCAGCAGCCGCGGUAAUACGAAGGGUGCAAGCGUUGUUCGGAAUUACUGGGCGUAAAGCGCACGUAGGCGGGUUUGCAAGUCAAUUGUGAAAGCCCCGGGCUCAACCCGGGAAUAGCAGUUGAAACUACGAAUCUUGAAUGCUUGAGAGGGUGGGAGAAUUCCUGGUGUAGAAGUGAAAUUCGUAGAUAUCAGGAGGAAUACCGGCGGCGAAGGCGCCUACCUGGCAGUGCAUUGACGCUGAAGUGCGAAAGCGUGGGGAGCAAACAG
RNAcentral lists this ribosomal RNA (429 nucleotides) under uncultured organism. RNAcentral describes it as "bacterial SSU rRNA". It matches the Rfam family "Bacterial small subunit ribosomal RNA", at positions 355 to 775 of the family's 1533-position model. The record is from RNAcentral.